Molecule: ribosomal RNA, 2819 nt
Filed under: metagenome
Description: bacterial LSU rRNA
Rfam family: Bacterial large subunit ribosomal RNA
Source: RNAcentral
CAAAGGGCGUGCGGCGGAUGCCUUGGCACUAACAGCAGAAGAAGGACGUGACUACCUGCGAAAAGCCUUGGGGAGAUGGAAGUAAUCAAUGAUCCAGGGAUAUCCGAAUGGGGAAACCCAAAUGGAGUAACAUCCAUUUAUCCUACACUGAAUACAUAGGUGUAGCGAAGACAACCCAGUGAAUUGAAACAUCUUAGUAGCUGGAGGAAAAGAAAGAGAAAUCGAUUCCCUAAGUAGUGGCGAGCGAAAGGGGAAGAGCCCAAACCAAGUAUGACUUGGGGUUGUAGGACCUUCAAAAACCGACAAUAGAUAGUAGAAUAGCAUUGAAAGGCUAACCAAAGAGGGUGCAAGUCCCGUAUACGAAAUCGACGAUAGGCGGAAGGUAUCCUGAGUACGGCGAGACACGUGAAAUCUUGUCGGAAUCGACGCGGACCACCGCGUAAGGCUAAAUACUAGUUAGUGACCGAUAGUGAACCAGUACAGUGAUGGAAAGGUGAAAAGAACCCCGGGAGGGGAGUGAAAUAGAACCUGAAACCGCAUGCCUACAAGAAGUCAGAGGGCGUUAAAGCCUGAUGGCGUGCCUAUUGAAGAAUGAACCGGCGAGUUAUUUUAUCGUGCGAGGUUAAGUGGGAGACACGGAGCCGAAGCGAAAGCGAGUCUUAAGAGGGCGCAAAGUACGAUGGAAUAGACCCGAAACCAGGCGAGCUAGCCAUGACCAGGUUGAAGUAGGGGUAAAACCCUAUGGAGGACCGAACCGACGUUCGUUGAAAAGACCGCGGAUGAGUUGUGGCUAGGGGUGAAAUUCCAAUCGAGCUUGGUGAUAGCUGGUUCUCCCCGAAAUAGCUUUAGGGCUAGCCUUGAAAGGAAAGCACCAUGGAGGUAGAGCACUGAAUACUAGAUGGUCCUGUUAAGGGAUACUGAUAGUAAUCAAACUCCGAAUGCCAUGGGUAGCAUAUUCAGGAGUCAGACUGUGGGAGAUAAGUUCCAUGGUCAAGAGGGAAACAGCCCAGACCUACAGUUAAGGUCCCUAAAUUCAUGCUAAGUGUUAAAGGAUGUGAAGUUGCACAGACAGCUAGGAUGUUGGCUUAGAAGCAGCCACCAUUCAAAGAGUGCGUAACAGCUCACUAGUCGAGCGACUUUGCGCCGAAGAUUUACCGGGGCUAAGCAUGAUACCGAAGCUUAGGACUCUACGGAGUGGUAGGGGAGCGUUCCAUAUGCAUCGAAGGUACACCGCAAGGAGUGCUGGAGCGUAUGGAAGUGAGAAUGCCGGUGUGAGUAACGAAUGUGGGUGAGAAUCCCACACACCGAUUGCCUAAGGUUUCCUGGGGAAGGUUCGUCCACCCAGGGUAAGUCGGGAACUAAGGCGAGGCCGAAAGGCGUAGUCGAUGGAUAACAGGUUGAUAUUCCGUACCCGCACAUAGGCGAAGUAGUGACAAAGAAGGCUAAUACAUCCAACUGCUGGAAUAGUUGGUACAAGCGGGAUAGCAGGUGCAUAGGCAAAUCCGUGCACGGAAUGCAAGACGUGAAGUGUAGUGAAAGGAUUAAUCCGAGUAAUGAAGUGUAUGACGCCAGCUUUCGAGAAAAGCUGCUAGCUUAACUAUGUGUGGCCCGUACCGAGAACGAACACACGUGGGCAAGGAGAGAAUCCUAAGGUGAGCGAGAGAAGUGUUGUUAAGGAACUCUGCAAAAUCACCCCGUACGUUCGCAAGAAGGGGUACUCCGGAGACGGAGUCGCAGUGAAGAGGCCCAGGUAACUGUUUAUCAAAAACACAGCUUUAUGCUAAGCCGCAAGGCGAAGUAUAUGAGGUGACGCCUGCCCAGUGCUGGAAGGUUAAGAGGAGAGGUUAGUCGCAAGGCGAAGCUUUGAAUUGAAGCCCCAGUGAACGGCGGCCGUAACUAUAACGGUCCUAAGGUAGCGAAAUUCCUUGUCAGGUAAGUUCUGACGCGCACGAAUGGCGUAAUAAUCUGGGCGCUGUCUCAACAGCAAACUCGGUGAAAUCUUAGUACCUGUGAAGAUGCAGGUUACCCGCGACUAGACGGAAAGACCCCAUGGAGCUUUACUACAACUUGAUAUUGGACAACGUUAUCUCAUGUACAGGAUAGGUGGGAGACUAUGAAGCUUGGGCGUCAGCUUGAGUGGAGUCACCCUUGGGAUACCACUCUUGAGGUAAUGUUGUUCUAACCAGCUGCCUUACCGGUAGUGGGACAGUGUCAGGCGGGUAGUUUGACUGGGGCGGUCGCCUCCCAAAGAGUAACGGAGGCGCUCAAAGGUACCCUCAGUAUGGUUGGAAAUCAUACAACGAGUGCAAAGGCAUAAGGCGGUUCCGCGUGGAAGGGCCGUCGCUCAACGGAUAAAAGCUACCCUGGGGAUAACAGGCUGAUUCCUCCCAAGAGUCCACAUCGACGGGGGAGUUUGGCACCUCGAUGUCGGCUCAUCUCAUCCUGGAGCUGGAGUCGGUUCCAAGGGUUAGGCUGUUCGCCUAUUAAAGAGAUACGUGAGCUGGGUUCAAAACGUCGUGAGACAGUUUGGUCCCUAUCUGUCGUGGGCGCAGGAAGUUUGAAGGGAUUCGUCCCUAGUACGAGAGGACCGGGAUGAACAUACCUCUGGUGCACCAGUUGUCACGCCAGUGGCACAGCUGGGUAGCUACGUAUGGAACGGAUAAACGCUGAAAGCAUCUAAGCGUGAAACCGACCCUAAGAUGAGACUUCCCAUUCUUAAUGAAGUAAGAUCCCUUGAAGGUUACAAGGUUGAUAGGUUGCAAGUGUAAGCAUGGCGACAUGUUCAGCUGAGCAAUACUAAUAGAUCGAGGACUUAUCUU